RNAcentral lists this ribosomal RNA (411 nucleotides) under uncultured bacterium. Its description in RNAcentral is "bacterial SSU rRNA". It matches the Rfam family "Bacterial small subunit ribosomal RNA", at positions 28 to 434 of the family's 1533-position model. The record is from RNAcentral.
GAUUAACGCUAGCGGCAGGCCUAAUACAUGCAAGUCGAACGGCAGCACGGGUAGCAAUACCUGGUGGCGAGUGGCGCACGGGUGCGUAACACGUAUGCAAUCUUCCUUUAACUGGGGAACAACCCCUCGAAAGAGGGGCUAAUACCGCAUAAUAUCAAGAGACGGCAUCGCCUUUUGAUAAAACCUCCGGGGGUUAAAGAUGAGCAUGCGUCCGAUUAGUUAGUUGGCGGGGUAACGGCCCACCAAGACAGCGAUCGGUAGGGGAUCUGAGAGGAUGAUCCCCCACACGGGUACUGAGACACGGACCCGACUCCUACGGGAGGCAGCAGUAAGGAAUAUUGGACAAUGGGGGCGAACCCUGAUCCAGCCAUGCCGCGUGAAGGAUGAAGGCGCUAUGCGUUGUAAACUUAC